UGGGUAACCUGCCUCAAAGAGGGGAAUAGCCUCCCGAAAGGGAGAUUAAUACCGCAUAAUAUGUUUAAGUCGCAUGACUUUAACAUCAAAGGAUUUUCUUUUAGAAAUUCCACUUUGAGAUGGACCCGCGGCGCAUUAGCUAGUUGGUGAGGUAACGGCUCACCAAGGCAACGAUGCGUAGCCGACCUGAGAGGGUGAUCGGCCGCAUUGGAACUGAGACACGGUCCAGACUCCGUAGGAG
RNAcentral lists this ribosomal RNA (241 nucleotides) under uncultured bacterium. Its description in RNAcentral is "partial 16S ribosomal RNA". It matches the Rfam family "Bacterial small subunit ribosomal RNA", at positions 118 to 347 of the family's 1533-position model. The record is from RNAcentral.